Molecule: ribosomal RNA, 253 nt
Filed under: uncultured bacterium
Lineage: Bacteria
Description: partial 16S ribosomal RNA
Rfam family: Bacterial small subunit ribosomal RNA
Source: RNAcentral
UACGGAGGGUGCAAGCGUUGUUCGGAAUUAUUGGGCGUAAAGGGCAGGUAGGUGGUCUCUUAAGUCUGCUGUGAAAUCCCCGGGCUUAACUCGGGAAGUGCGGCAGAUACUGAGGGACUAGAGUGCCGGAGGGGUGCGUGGAAUUCCAGGUGGAGCGGUGAAAUGCGUAGAUAUCUGGAGGAACGCCGGCGGCGAAAGCGACUCUCUGGUCUGUAACUGACGCUGAGGUGCGAAAGCUAGGGGAGCAAACGGG